RNAcentral lists this non-coding RNA (31 nucleotides) under Mus musculus (house mouse). The record is from RNAcentral. Lineage: Eukaryota; Metazoa; Chordata; Mammalia; Rodentia; Muridae.
UAGACUGAAGGAUCCCGAGGAAUCAGUCUGU